RNAcentral lists this ribosomal RNA (744 nucleotides) under uncultured bacterium. RNAcentral describes it as "bacterial SSU rRNA". It matches the Rfam family "Bacterial small subunit ribosomal RNA", at positions 94 to 823 of the family's 1533-position model. The record is from RNAcentral.
AGCGGCGGAUGGGUGGGUAACACGUGGGGAACCUGCCCCUAAGUCUGGGAUACCAUUUGGAAACAGGUGCUAAUACCGGAUAAUAAAGCAGAUCGCAUGAUCAGCUUUUGAAAGGCGGCGUAAGCUGUCGCUAAGGGAUGGCCCCGCGGUGCAUUAGCUAGUUGGUAAGGUAACGGCUUACCAAGGCGACGAUACAUAGCCGAGUUGAGAGACUGAUCGGCCACAUUGGGACUGAGACACGGCCCAAACUCCUACGGGAGGCAGCAGUAGGGAAUCUUCCACAAUGGACGCAAGUCUGAUGGAGCAACGCCGCGUGAGUGAAGAAGGUUUUCGGAUCGUAAAGCUCUGUUGUUGGUGAAGAAGGAUAGAGGUAGUAACUGGCCUUUAUUUGACGGUAAUCAACCAGAAAGUCACGGCUAACUACGUGCCAGCAGCCGCGGUAAUACGUAGGUGGCAAGCGUUGUCCGGAUUUAUUGGGCGUAAAGCGAGCGCAGGCGGAAAAAUAAGUCUAAUGUGAAAGCCCUCGGCUUAACCGAGGAACUGCAUCGGAAACUGUUUUUCUUGAGUGCAGAAGAGGAGAGUGGAACUCCAUGUGUAGCGGUGGAAUGCGUAGAUAUAUGGAAGAACACCAGUGGCGAAAGGCGGCUCUCUGGUCUGCAACUGACGCUGAGGCUCGAAAGCAUGGGUAGCGAACAGGGUUAGAUACCCUGGUAGUCCAUGCCGUAAACGAUGAGUGCUAAGUGU